Molecule: RNA transcript, 1746 nt
Organism: Bactrocera neohumeralis
Lineage: Eukaryota; Metazoa; Arthropoda; Insecta; Diptera; Tephritidae
Exons: 5
Source: RefSeq, a predicted model, not a curated record
CUCGUCUAUAAAAGCGCAUCAUUUGACCAAGCAAAUUUUAGUUUAGUGAACUACACAGAACAUUCUGGUUUGGGUGAUUCAUUUUGAGCUAAAAGCAGUUUUAAAUAAAAAAAAAUUUUAAAAAAGUUUAUUUUCGAUAAAUAAAGAAACUAGUUAUAAAAAUGGUUAUCAAAAAUCCGAACAAUAUCGUUGUGCCCGAUUAUUUGAACGAGAACUUCUUCGUGGCCGCGCUCGAGGAAGGUUUGCGUGCAAUCCAGGUGACGGUUAAAGAAUUAACUUUCGAAUGGGCCACCAACCCCGGUGAUAAUUACUGCUCUCGCAUCUAUCGCAUCGCGGUCACCUAUGAGCGACUAGUUGACGCUGAUGAGCCGCCAGUACAAGAGCAACGGUCGUUAAUCGUUAAAUCUAUACCGGUUCCGGAAGACAUACGUUUCCUUGAAGAUGUAGGUGUUUUCCUUAAGGAAAAAAUGACCUAUUUGGAUGUAUUGCCACGGCUGCAAGUACUUGUGCCGUGUCCGAAAUUCGGUGCCAUCUGCUAUUAUGCAACCAAAUCCCCCAUUAACACCCUUGUUUUUACUGACUUGAAGUCUGAAGGUUUUCGGGUUGCGCCACGACAGGACCAGCUCGAUUGGGCACACUGCGAAUUGAUCUUGCAACAAACGGCGCGCCUGCAUGCCACUUCAAUGAUUUUAGCCCAGCGAGAUCCCGACAUCACCAAACGCUUGGUUGACGGUAUGCUGUGCGAGAAGUCUAUAAUGAAGUCUGAUUCCUUUAAGCAAAUGUUCGGCGUUAUGCUGAAGUACCUGGCCAACAAUGCAGCCGAGUGGCCUGGUUUUGAAAAGAUCGCACAAAAAUUGCACCAUUUCAAUGAUAAUUUCAGGAGAAUAUGCGCACGCUUAUCAGAUCCUCGUAAAGGCGAUCGUUUUGUUGUGAUGAAUCAUGGUGAUCUCUCUAUUUUAAAUAUCAUGUACGCCUAUGAUGAUCCCAAGCAACCCAAGAAACCAACGCGCGCUAUGUUUGUGGAUUUCCAACUUAAUUUCUGUGGCAGCCCUGGCUGCGAUCUCAACUUCUUUCUCAACACUAGUGUACGUUUAAAUGUGCUAAAGGAUCGACGAGAUGAUCUCAUAAAUGUGUAUUACAAAACAUUCAAGGAGACGUUGGAGUACCUUCAUUACGAGAAUAUACCGACUUUAGAAGAUCUAAAGUACGAAUUGCGUGCUCGUGAACUUUAUGGUCUCUUCGCUACGUUCAGUUUUCUGCCCAUGGUUACUAUGCCAAAGGAGCUAUCUGGAGAUAACAGUGUUGAAAAUAUGAUAAACGAGGACAACGUCCGUGCAAAGUACCAAAAACUAUUUUCACAAGAUAAUGUGCAAGCACAGCUAAAGUAUGCACUGAAGCGCUUUGAUGAUUUGGGUGUGUUGGACGAGUUUUAGUUAAUGUUUAAUAUUGGGUACAACUACUUUAUGAGUGCUGGGAACAUGUAAAUAUUAUACUCAUAUAUUUGUUUCUCAUAUGAUGAGAGUCAUAACGGAACCGCUGCGUAUUGCAAGACAAGCAAGAAAAGGAGAGAUAAGUAUAACUUCUCUCUUUCUCUUAUUUGUUCGGGAAGCCGCAGUACUCAUAUGCAGCUUAUCAAGUUUUACGCUCAACUUGGCGAUCAGCUUUACAACGACGAUCCAAACAAAUAAUAUUGCUACAAGCUCGGCUAAACCCAUAUAUACCGCACAUCAGUGACUAGAAAUACAU